Molecule: ribosomal RNA, 604 nt
Filed under: uncultured Bacteroidota bacterium
Lineage: Bacteria; Pseudomonadati; Bacteroidota
Description: bacterial SSU rRNA
Rfam family: Bacterial small subunit ribosomal RNA
Source: RNAcentral
GUACUGAGACACGGACCAGACUCCUACGGGAGGCAACAGUGAGGAAUAUUGGACAAUGGGAGCAAUCCUGAUCCAGCCAUGCCGCGUGCAGGAAGACUGCCCUAUGGGUUGUAAACUGCUUUUAUACAGGAAGAAAAAGGUGUACGUGUACACUGUUGACGGUACUGUAAGAAUAAGGAUCGGCUAACUCCGUGCCAGCAGCCGCGGUAAUACGGAGGAUCCAAGCGUUAUCCGGAAUCAUUGGGUUUAAAGGGUCCGUAGGCGGGAUGAUAAGUCAGUGGUGAAAGUCUGCAGCUUAACUGUAGAAUUGCCAUUGAUACUGUUGUUCUUGAGUUAUUGUGAAGUGGUUAGAAUGAGUAGUGUAGCGGUGAAAUGCAUAGAUAUUACUCAGAAUACCGAUUGCGAAGGCAGAUCACUAACAAUGAACUGACGCUGAUGGACGAAAGCGUAGGUAGCGAACAGGAUUAGAUACCCUGGUAGUCUACGCCGUAAACGAUGGUUACUAGCUGUUCGGGUUAAUUGAGACCUGAGUGGCUAAGCGAAAGUGAUAAGUAACCCACCUGGGGAGUACGUUCGCAAGAAUGAAACUCAAAGGAAUUGACGG